Molecule: long non-coding RNA, 3677 nt
Organism: Nomascus leucogenys (northern white-cheeked gibbon)
Lineage: Eukaryota; Metazoa; Chordata; Mammalia; Primates; Hylobatidae
Exons: 5
Source: RefSeq, a predicted model, not a curated record
AACGAACAUUCCUAGAAAGUAAGGCAGAAGUAUGAGACGUUUUUGUGAUCUAACCACGGAAGUCACAUAAUCACUUCUGCCGUAUUCUAUAGGUUGACUAAGUCACAGAUGUCCUUUCAGGUUCAAGAGAAGGGGACACAGACCUUUACACCAAUUGGAAGGGGCAUGUCAAGGUUACAUUGAAGAAGAAUAUUUGGGAUGCAAGAUACAGCAGUGUCCAUCUAUGGAAAAUAUAGUCUGCACCAGAUGUGUACUAAAGAAUUUGUAGGAAAACUAAAAAUGCCUAUGGCAUGAUAGUCAUAAUCAUGAAGAAAAAUCUUCAAGUUCUUUUUCUCAAGAUAGAGAUUUUAAUAAGACAUUUUGGAAAGAUUUAAAAGUUUUUAACUAUUUAAUUUAAUUGGGAGCCUCUACUUAUUUUCUUAGUUUUGAGAUGACUGAUAAACAGGAGUUUCCCACCUACACAAGAAGAUGUGUCUGCAGAAAAUGAAUUAAGAACAUAUGGGCACUCCGCUUCAGUCACACUAAAUUCCUCUUUGACCCAUGUCCCAGGCUUAGCCUAUAUAUUCAGUAGACUGUCUCCUUUCUUGCAGUACCUUCUUUUAGCACCUUUCUUUUCUUUUUAAAAACAUUUCUUAUAAUUUCAAAACUAGUACUAUUAUUUGUCAUUUUAGGAGUUGGUGAUGUUCAGAAAUGUGGCUAUAUAGAUGUCUCUCAGGAGGAAUGGGAAUGCCUGAACCCAGCGCAGAGAAAUUUGUACAAGGAGGUGAUGUUGGAGAAUUAUAGCAACUUGGUGUCACUUGGACUUUCUGUUUCUAAGCCAGCCGUAAUCUCCUCACUGGAGCAAGGGAAAGAGCCCUGGAUGGUUGUGAGGGAAGAGACAGGAAGAUGGUGCCCAGGUGACUGAGCAAGCACAGGAAGCUCUUGCAGAGAGCAGGUACAUGGAAAACUUGGGGAUUUCACAAUAAUUUCUUGAACAAUAAUGAGGCUACAGACAUAAAAGCAGUCACUCUGCCCUCAACAGGACUCCUCUGGGAAUGCAGAUGGAACCGGAAUGGUAGACAAAACUGGGGAAAGACAAUCACCUCUCCUUCUGUGACAAGAAUAUUCCCGGACUCUCCAGGGAUAGGGAGAUUCCUAGGUUCAGGUAUCAGGAAGUUUCUUCCCAGAAAACUGUUGGUCCCAUAGGAGAAUUGAUCCACCUCCUUCCCAGAGAUCAGCAUUGCCUAAAGGAAAACUAGAAUUGUUAUAGCAAGAAUGUAAACACUAAGAAACAAGUCAACUUUCUGGUUUUUUAAUGUUAAAACAACAACAACAACUCUUGAAGCCCCUGGGGCAUAGGUUGGUGUAGCCAGAUAAAGAUUGCCUGGGAUGGAAGGCAUGGAGAGAAUGGGAUCAAGUGAUACUUUGCAGGAGGUCAUUUGGUCUGACCAGAGCAAACCACCAGGAAGGAAGCAACCUUCGACGUGAUGGUAUUUGAAGGCGGGGCCAUUGGGAGGUAAUUAGGUUUAUAUGACAUCAUGAGGAUGGGACCCUCAUGAUGAGGUUAGCGCCCUUAUCAGAAGAAGAAGAGACCAGAACAUACUCCCUUUCUCCAUCGUGUGAGGACACAGCAAGAAGGUAGCCAUCUGCAAACCAGGAAGAGGGCCCUUCCUCACCAGAUCCCAAAUUUGCAGACACCUUGAUCUUUGACUUCUCAGCCUCCAGAACUGUGAGAAAGAAAUGUCUGUUGUUUAAGCCACCUCAGUCUAUGGUACUUUGUUACAGCAGCCUGAAUUGAGUCAGACAUUCAGCAUCGGGAGGUGGCCAGCAGGGAACUGAAUGAAAGCUGACCCAACACCUACAGUACCAGUCCCCAUUCAGGUGAGCACUGGCUGCCUUUGUGGAAGAACCACUCCGACAGUUCUGCCUUCAGCCACCGUCCAGCAAAGGCCUCCCAUCCACUGCUGUAUCCUGGUGGCUCUAUGACUGUAGACUUGCUGACUUUACUGUGAGCUGCCUGAUGUGGAUAACAGAUAACUCCCACUUCAAUGGCCCAAAUACUCACCGGCCUUCACAUUUCCAUCCUGGGGAUGAAUCAUAAUUCACCCAAACAUCUCCCCUAUUCCCAGAUGUUUACAUUGUUUUCAGGUUUCCAUUAGUACAUUUAAUACUUCAAUGAACAUUUUGCACAUAAAGCUUUUACUGCAUAACUUCCAACUCUAAAAUAUCUGGUAUUCUUUGACAAAACCUAGUAAUGGCUAUUUCUUUGAGUUCAGGAUACCACGUCUCAAGCACUAUUCUCUUCUCAAAAGAUACAAUUAAAGUUCUUUUUAUGAAAUUCAAUACCUGUUGAUGAAAAAAACUCUCAGCAAGCAAAGAAUAAAAGGGAAUUUUCUUAAUCUAAUAAUAGGCACCUACCAGAAACCUCAACAUCUUACUUAAUGCUUCUUUUAAAAGUCAAGAAUGAGGUAUGGGUGUUAUGAGUGUUCAUUAUCACUGCUUCUAAAACACUUCUGUUGGCACUUCAACACUAGAAGUCAUAGAAAGGAAAAAAAAGGAAAGAGACUGCUGCCUCUUCCAGGAUGUAGAGAAGCAGGCAUUCUCAUUCACUGCUUGUAUAACUUCAACCUUUAAGAAUGGCAAUUUGGAGAUAUACGUAUCUUAAAAAUGGACAUAUGUCCUGACCCUUCAACUCCACUUCUAUACGCAUAUCCUAAGAAAAUAAUUCGGGCUAUGUACAUACAUGUAACAAGAUACUGUCUCUACUACUAUCUAGUCAGAAACCUCCUAUUUGACAAGGUACUGGUUAUGUGAAUUCUGGCAUGAACACAUUAUGGAAUAUUAGUCACUAAAAAUCGUACUGUAUAAGAGCAUUUACCAGAAAGACAGCUUAAACUACCAUGUUCAACAUAACUUUUUCGUAGAUAAGGCAUGUACACACAUACACAAACGUACUGGAAAGAUCUAUAUCUAUAUCAGAGUAUUGAUGAUUCCUUAUGCUCUUUUUGUUUUCCCAAUUUUCCAAAACCUGUGACUUUUCUAAUUAGGAGAAAUAAUAUAUUUUAAAUGCUGUAGGCAGCAAAGAAAGUGGCUCAGAAAAGAUGUAAAGAGAGAUUUUAUAUGGGGAGAUGGCAGCAACUAUACAUCUAUUCAUACAGAAUCCUUAAUGCCAUGCAGCUAAACUAUAUUUAUUGUUCAUUUUAUUAAGACAAAAAUAAAUAGUAGAUCUAAAGGUUAAUUUUUGGUAAACUCUCUUAGGUAAACUCUGUGCUUACUCAUAUUCAGGAACCAGCAAUUCUGCAAAUGCUGGGCAGGUCACAGGCCACCCUGCAACCCAGCAAUUAGACUGGGGGAGAUGGACCUUGUUGGGCUGUUUCCCUGGUUCAUGUGACCAAGUGGGGGCUGGGGUUGGGGGUGAAGGAAGAAGGGAGAAGGGACUGUCACAACAGUGUUCCAUGCAUGCACUCAGAAAAUAGCACAACAGUUACAACAGUGAGAAUCUUUAUGCAUAUAACUUUGUGAUCAAUAAAUCCUUCAGAACAACAAGAGACAAAGGAAUACAAUGUCCCAAACAGCUGCAGUCCAUCGGCUGACAUUGCUAACUAGAUUUAGAUCAUCUGGAGGCUUUUGUAAGAGGAACUGAGGUGCAGAGGCAUCAGAAUGAGUUGAUUCCCGGCAAAAGUGCUAAGAGGCUACAG